RNAcentral lists this long non-coding RNA (1907 nucleotides) under Homo sapiens (human). RNAcentral describes it as "HSALNT0012384". The record is from RNAcentral. Lineage: Eukaryota; Metazoa; Chordata; Mammalia; Primates; Hominidae.
CGGGCCAUCAGUUUCGGCGUUUUUUCCAGAGAGGCAGGCUCACAGCGAUAUCGCGAGAGACGACAGGGAAUUGCUCUGUCACGCAAGCUGGAGUGCAGUGGUGCCAUCUCGGCUCACUGUGACCUCUGCCUCCUGGGCUCAAGCCAUCCUCCCACCUCAGCCCUUCAAGUAGCUGGGAUUACAGGUUGUAAAAACCCCAUCAGGGCAGUGACUGAGUGUGUGUCACUGUGUGCAGCAUCCCCAGAACCUAAUACCAUGACUGCAUGGAACAAGCACCCGGAUAUAGGAAUGAAGGACGCUACUGGUGGCCCCGUCCAGUUCUGAGAAAAUGCUGCCACAAGCUACAAGAGAAAUCUGCUUCUCUGAAGCCUUUAAAGAUUUGGUUACUUUUUCAAAAUGAAUAUUCUUUAAUACACAAUUUCAAUAAUUUCUGAAAUGAGGAUAAUGGCUGGGUUUUUUUUUUUUUUUUUUUUUUUGAGAUGGAGUCUCGCUGUCACCCAGGCUGGAGUGCAGUGGUGCAAUCUCAGCUCACUGCAACCUCUGCCCCCCGGGUUCAAGCAAUUCUCGUGCCUCAGCCUCCUGAGUAGCUGGGAUUACAGGUGCCCGCCACCACGACUGGCUAAUUUUUUUAUUUUUAGUAGAGACGGAGUUUCACCAUCCAUGUUGGCCAGGGAGGUCUUGAACUCCUGACCUCAAGUGAUCCGCCUAUGGCUGGCUUUUUAUAAUAGUUAAGAAUACUGCUCCUGGAGUCAGAGGGUCUGGUUCUCAUCCUCUGAUUUUGAUCACAACUUGCUGCAUGAUGAUGAUCAAGUGUUUGAACUUCCCAGUGCAUCCAUUUCCUCCUGGGUAAAGUGGGGCUAAUACCGUUAAAGCAAUGAUGUAAAAAUUAAAUGAGCUAACACAAGUGAGCGUUCAGAAUUGCAUCUAGUGCAUGGGAAUCCCUCAUAAGUAUUAGCUAUUAUUAUCAGUGUGCUAUCAGCUUGGAACUCAUGUAGUUCUGCUACAGAUUUGUAUUGUUCCUGAAAACAGAAUAUGAGACCAAAUUGAGGCCAGGUGUAAAGGCAUCUGGACCUUAUAUCCCUGCUGUCUAGUUUCUUCAAGAGGCCAGAGAGAACCUCCCUCAACUCCAGCCUACCAAGUGUCAUUUAUUUUAAUGCAGUGUGCCCCCAGUCUUAGGAAAUGGAAUUCUUCAUCUUCCAAGGCCUCUGGCUGAGACUGGAGACUUGUGCCUGCUCCACUGCUUGGCUGGAUUAGAUGCCCUAGAAAGAUACUUUUAACUCAGAGAAACUGUGACUCCAUGAAAGGGUCAGAUCCCACCAAAAGUCAUCCCAGUUCUCCAUCAGUUUCUCUCUCCACUCCACCUCCCCCAGCCCAUCCUCCGUCUGGGCUCCAGGGCUCUUUCCUUCUGUGUUCCCACAGGAUGGUGCCUGCUUUUACCCACCCUCUAGACUUUGCCCCAGUCACCUCAAACAGCCGAGGGUCCAAAUUUAGUAAUAGAAAUUCACUUCUCUAACCACUUUACAAAAACAUUAACUCAUAACUCACGGAAACCCAAUGAAGUCGGUGCUGGUGGCACCUCCAUUUUACAGAUGAUGAAACCGAGGAGAGGAGGGAGGUUGAAUAACUUGGCCCAAGGUCACUUGCUGAAAAGUGGCAGAGCUAGGAUUCACUGCCUCUGGUUCACUGCCUUGAAAGGAAGGAAAGUCUCCCCACUCCCACCACUGGGGAACUCUUCUUUAACUUUCUCCACAGUAUCAUUGGUCCGAUAAAUGAGAGGCAAGGAGAGAAACAAAGAUGGAUGUAUGUAUAAACUUAGGCAAGCAUGGAGAGCCAUGGUGAUGUGGUUAAGUGUUAGUUCUUGAGCUGAAUUGCACUGGUUAGUGUCCUGGAUUUUGAAUGUACUAACC